Molecule: RNA transcript, 4768 nt
Organism: Pan troglodytes (chimpanzee)
Lineage: Eukaryota; Metazoa; Chordata; Mammalia; Primates; Hominidae
Gene name: zinc finger protein 850-like
Exons: 6
Source: RefSeq, a predicted model, not a curated record
GUUAGUCGGCCCAGCCAAUGCGCAUGCGCGAGGCGCUAGCGGAUUCUCCCAUCACAGUGGUUCCCACGGUUGUCUUAGAAACCAGUCUCCGAGGCUUGGCAAAGCAGUUCUCCUUGGCAGUGCUUGGGUGUCGGGACUCCGAGGUUCUGGCCUGACCGCUCCACGGGGUUGACAGGAACGUCUCCAGAUGCCAGGAGUCGCAAAGCGCCGACCAGUAUGACGAGACCACGGGCGGAGUCCAGGGGAAGCAGCAAGGCAUCCCACCCUCAGGCCUGCCCGGACGGUGUUCGUGAGAGGAGUGGACCCACGUCAGAAAUGAGGUUCUAUCUUUUCCCGGGUCUUCUGUGAGCAAUGAAGCCACAUCACAAUAGAGUCUUGAAGAGGAAUCCGGAAAUGGGAGUUGGCAACAAUCCCUGUCACUGGAACGCUGGCCUCUCUGGACAAGCCACAGUUCUGGCCCCCCUCCUCUUAUGCUCAUGGAGGUGGCACGGUGCUGUAUCCUGCCUGAGCUCUGGCCUCUGCUCUGCCUUCCCUCUCGCUCUGUCUCCCCUGUUUCUCAGCCGCCUAGAUGCCUCUUGCUCUGGCUGAAUGUCUUCAACAAAGAUCAUUUCCCUGUCUGUCAGGGAGACACUUCCUGGAGAUCCGUGUCAUGAUUGUGUCUCUCUCCAAACCUGUUUCUGCUUGAUUGGGCAGGUUCGAUGUCCCUGGAGCUCUUGGCUUCCAUGCGUGUCUCAGACAGGGAAGCUACCUUGGUCUCCAUGUUUCACCUCAUGUGUAGGUGGAUUGCCUAGAAGCAACGGUAAGCGACCGUGACUGGCCUUGUCUUCUAGGACAGGCGUGGUGAAACAUGUCCUCUGCAUCUCCUGUCUCAUUCUUGAGGGACAUCCUCUCCUCUGCUCCUGGGUGGACGGACUCCCUGAAUCUUUUGGCCACCUCUUAGAUCCGAGGUGUUCUUUGAUUUUGGUUGGCAUUGAUGGAAAGGUCACUUGUGCCCCCCUUCAGCCGGGCACACGCCUGGACACCAUUGCUUGUUUCGCCAUCGCCCCAUAUGCCCUCAGUGACACACAUCCAUACCAUCUGCUCUGACGCCAGUGCCACACGUGGUCACCUUGGCUCCACCUGGGAAUCGCCUCUGUCCCUGUUUGCACUUGUCCUGGAAAGCGGUAUCAGCUUGCAGGAGCCCCAGGGCUUUUAGAAGCAGGGCGGGCCACUGCUCUUUCAAUGGAGGAGGGAGGCAGACAGCUCAUGGGUCAGUGAAAUUUCAGCUGACACCAUGAUUUGAGGCCCAUGGGAACAUUCUGUGUUGCAGUGAGGCCCUGCCUGCCUUAGCAGAUGUGGUGAUCCCAUCCUUUCUCACCCGGAGGGGUCCAAGAUGUGAUUCAAAGAGGAGUCCUGAGACCCCAGCAGGCGCCCUCGAGCUCUCCCUCCAUCGGUAGAAGUUGGCUCAAGCAGGACCUGAAGACAGGACUCCUGAGGUCACCCGCGGACCUCUCUCCCACGCCGCCCCCUACUGGGUCCUGGAUCCAGCCACCGCGGAGGCUGCAGCAGGAGUCCCCCUGCCACCGCGCAGCUGCCAUUGUUUCAAGGGGACUCCGCCUGACUGCCAGGAGCGGAGCGCGAGUCGGCCUAGCCAAUGCGCAUGCGCGAGGUGCGAGCCGUUUCUCCCAUCACAGUGAUUCCCACGGUUGUCUUAGAAACCAGUCCAGGAGGCUUGGCAAAGCAGGAGCCCUCCGUGGCAGUACUUGGGCGUCGGGACUCCGAGGCUCCGGCCUGACCUCUCCACGGGGUCGACAGGAAAGUCUCUGGAUGCCAAGAGUCGCAAAGGGCCGACCAGGAUGAAGAAACCCCCGGCGGAGUCCGUGGGAAGCACCGCGGCAGCCUAGCCUCAGGCCUGCCCAGACGGUGUUCAGCUCUAACCAUGGAAUACUGGGAAUGUCCCAUUCUAUGAAGGAGGUUUGUCGGCCACAACAGGAAUAUUCAUGAACAUGGAGGGGUUGGGCAUGUUCCAGGAUCUGUCUAUAGACUUCUCUCAGGAGGAAUGGGAGUGCCUGGACACUGCUCAGAAGGACUUACAGAGAGAUGUAAUGAUGGAGAACUAUAGCAGCCUGGUCUCACUAGGUCUCUCUAUCCCUAAGCCUGAUGUGAUUUCCUUACUGGAGCAAGGGAAAGAGUCCUGGAUGGUUUCAAGGGACGUACCAGGAGGAUGGUGCCCAGAGUCUCACUCUGUAGCCCGGGCUGGAGUGCAGUGGCGUGAUCUUGUCUCACUGGAAACCAAUAAGAAACGCUUCGGGAUGACCUCCCUACCAGCACAGGAAAACCAUUCCUGCGCAUUUCUGCGCUGGAACGCCUACCUUUGGUGACAUUUCCUGCACUUUCUUGCAGAUUUGUACCAGGCACUGGAGAACCUCCCACCUGGUCCAUGCCCGGCUCCCGGUGAACACCGAGACCCAACCUUGUGCACAGCCAGUCUUGUCAUCAACAAACAGGCUAGUAAAUUAUAAAAAAUAAAAUAAAGGAAAUGUAGCUGGGCGUGGUGGCAUGCGCCUGUAAUCCCAGCUACUCCGGAGGCUGAUGCAGGAGAAUCGCUUGAACCCAGGAGGUGAAGGUUGCAGUGAGGCGAGAUCGCGCCACUGCACUCCAGCGUGGAUGGCAAGAGCGAAACUCCUUCUCGAAAUAAUAAAUAAAAUAAAGGAAAUGGGGCCGGGCAUGGUGGCUCACGCCUGUAAUUCCAGCACUUUUGGUGGCCGAGGCAGGCGGAUCACUUGAGGUCAGAAGUUCGAGACCAGUCUGGCCAACAUGGUGAAACCCCUUCUCUACUAAAAAUAAACAAUUAGCCAGGCAUGGUGGCGGGCGCCUGUAAUCCCAGCUAUUUGUGAGGCAGAGACACAAGAAUCGCUUGAAUCCCGGAGGCAGAGGUUGCAGUGAGCCGAGCUCGUGCCACUGCGCUCCAGCCUGGGCGACAGAGCAAGACUCCAUCUUAAAAUAAAAUAGGCCGGCCGAGGGUCUCAUGCCUCUAAUCACAGCAUUUUGGAGGCUGAGGCGGGUGGAUUUCCUGAGCUCAGGAGUUCAAGACCAUCCUGGCCUACAUGGUGAAACCCCAUCUCUACUAAAAAUGCAAAAAUUAGCCGGGCAUGGUGGCGCAUGCCUGUAAUCCUAGCUACUUGGGAGGCUGAGGCAGGAGAACCGUUUCAACCCAGGAGGCGGAAGUUGCAGUGAGCCGAGACCGCCACAUUGCACUCCAGCUUGGGCAAGAGGAUUGAAACUCCAUCACAAAAAUAAAUAAAUAAAUAAAUAAAUAAAUAAGAAAUAGACAAAGCAAAUCUUAAUGCAUGAACUCAAACAAAUGCUUUCACUGCCAGGCUCCAUCUUUGCAAAACCGAACCUAGGACAAUGUGAACGUUUCUAACUAGCAAUUCUGGAGGACAGAUCAGGGAGGCGGCGUGAGCUUGCUUUUCUGCAAUUUAAUUGACUGGUCAGUAAAGUCAGUGUUUGCAGGCAUUUUCAAUGUUCUGUAGUGGGCUUCAGUGCCUGUGGCAGGCCGGGUUUCCAAUAGCAACCAGAACAGUUUCUACUAACCCUUUACUAUAAUUUUGAUGAAUGCAUAAGUUAACGUUAAAGAAAUGGAGAAACUGGUGCCUGAGUAUCAGGGAUGGAAUGUGAAAACAAACCCAUUGAGACCCCGUCUGGGUUUUCUCAGACCCUAAAAUCUGAUCGAAUAAUGAUAGCAUUCGUACACAUUCACCUCGGCCUCUCUUAAGAUUCAAAAACUUUCCAAGACUCUAGGGAAAUCUUUCCAGACGCGAAACCCGAGUUAAAGAUUAGAUGUUGAUUGAAUGAAACACUCCUGCUUGUAGGUGCAAUCCCACAGGGAGCUUAAGAUGUAUAUAAGCACUAGAAAAAAAAAACUUGUAACUUUGAGUUGAUCUGGUGAUUUACCUGGCGCUUCUCUCUGUAAGUGGCUGCAGAAAUAAACUUCCUUCUUUCCCAGUCUGUCUGUAUCUUAGUAUUGAACAAUUGCGUUGGAGCUGCCCAGCAAAGUCCUCUUCUAUGUGGUUAUCUGGGACUCCUUUUGGAGGGAACAUUUUAAAUUUUCCAUUUCAAAGCAUUCUGUUGGCCUUCUUACAGUUUUUCUCUGCCUACCCUGGGACCUGAGUUCUCCUGGACGUGAAUCUGCAGCCACAGAGCCUAGAAGCUCAUUCCUCCACAUUCUGUGACUGUUCCCCAAACACAGGGAGAAUUUGCAGAAAAUAAGCCCAAAAAUCUUGCCAUUCUUUGCAAUAAAACCCCACAUUACAAACUGCUGAAAACAGGAUUUUAGCCUGAAUAGAUUUUUCCUCUAUUUGAAAGCCUUUACAAUUUUGGAGAGAAGUUUCCAAAUCAAUCAGUAAGUACCCCCCACCCCAGGUUUAUCCUUAUGUAAAGUGCCCCCUUUGCACAUGCAAGAUUGAAUAAACCUUGAAAAUAUUAUGCUAAGUGAAAGAAGCCGGUCACAAAGGACCACAUGUUAUGUAAUUCCAUUUAAAUGUCCAAAAUAGACCAACACAUAGAAACAGAAAGUAGAUUUGUGGUGGUCCAGGAUUAGGGGAGUUGGGGGGAAAUGGAGGGAUAUGGUGUUUACUUCAGGGUAAUGAAAAUGAUCUAAAAUCUAUUGUGGUGAUGUUUGCAUAACAGUGCAAAUAUACUGAAAACCACUGAAUUUUACACUUUAAAUCAGUGGCUUCUGUGGUAUGUUAUCAAUAUUUCUCAAUAAAACUUCAAAAAAAUAGUG